UACAUGCAAGUCGAGCGAGCGGAACCAACAGAUUUACUUCGGUAAUGACGUUGGGAAAGCGAGCGGCGGAUGGGUGAGUAACACGUGGGGAACCUGCCCCUAAGUCUGGGAUACCAUUUGGAAACAGGUGCUAAUACCGGAUAAUAAAGCAGAUCGCAUGAUCAGCUUUUGAAAGGCGGCGUAAGCUGUCGCUAAGGGAUGGCCCCGCGGUGCAUUAGCUAGUUGGUAAGGUAACGGCUUACCAAGGCGACGAUGCAUAGCCGAGUUGAGAGACUGAUCGGCCACAUUGGGACUGAGACACGGCCCAAACUCCUACGGGAGGCAGCAGUAGGGAAUCUUCCACAAUGGACGCANGUCUGAUGGAGCAACGCCGCGUGAGUGAAGAAGGUUUUCGGAUCGUAAAGCUCUNUUGUUG
This 415-nucleotide ribosomal RNA is filed under the name Lactobacillus sp. DumLac6. RNAcentral's name for it is "bacterial SSU rRNA". It matches the Rfam family "Bacterial small subunit ribosomal RNA", at positions 52 to 441 of the family's 1533-position model. Lineage: Bacteria; Bacillati; Bacillota; Bacilli; Lactobacillales; Lactobacillaceae. The record is from RNAcentral.